CAGAAAAACCUUGGCAGGCUGAGAAAUGGGCCAACAGUAGCUUCAUGAAGUUCAAUACAGGGAAAAGGUGAAGUGCUGAACUUGGCAGGAAUAAUCCUGUGCGUGUUGGCAGAAAAGGACUUGAGAGAGAACAAGCUGGCCAUGAGCCAGCAGCAUGACCUCACAGUAAAGAAGUUGCACAGCAACCCACGCUGCAUGUGGAAGAGCAACACCCACACAGUGAGGGAGACCAUCCCUCCUCUCUGCUCAGCACUGGUGAGCCACCCUGAAUGCUGUAGUGGGUGGCUCAGAACUGGGCCCAAGAAAAAGUGUUACUGCAGCAAGGCCAGCUAAAGUUUAUGGAGAUAUUCAAAACCCAGCUGGAGGUCUUCCUGUGUUACCUGCUCUAGCUGACUCUGCCUUGGCAUGGGGGUUGGACCAAAUGAUCUCCAGAGGUUGCUUUUAACCCUAACAAUUCUGUGAUUCUGUAAUUUUGAAAGACAAACAUUUUCCCCAAUAAUUCCUGCUGCUAACACUCCUAGUUUCCCAUGAGAAAGCAGAACGUAAAAAAACAUAGAACUUCAGAUAGGUAUUCAUAUCUGAUAUUAAAUAUGUAUUAAUAACCAAUGCAUCAAAUGUAUUUCCUUUCAUAAUGGAAUGGUAUACUGAAAAGCCAACAAACUUUUCUCUGACCACUCAAAAUAGUUGGCUAACAUGCACACUAAAAAUGUGAAUCACCUGCAUGGUGUUCAGUGGAACAGAAUUUCAUGUCAUUCUAUACUACAGGAAAACACCAACACUUUUGUAAGCAUUAAUAGGUUUAUGACAGCAUCUCCCAAAGAAUUGUUCCACUCAUGUGGAGACAUCAACCAGUGGAAUAAUUUUUAUAAGUCAUGAAGAACAGAACCACAAUUAGACUGUAGAAAAUCUGAAGAAAUAUUUUAUAAUCAACAGAUUACUUAGAGGAAAAAAAAAACUCUUUUAGCAGUUGAAGUCAUACAUCUUCAAGGGAUCAGAUAAAGCUUUUAUUUUUCCAUAAGCUUUUUCUUUCUGCAAGUUUGAAUUUGGGUUGUUGAAAAGAAAUUACUACUAAUUAUAUUUUAAAAUUUCUAAUGACAUAUUUCCUUAGAGAAAAAGUAAACAGCAUGUGCCUAUUUUAUUUGUUGCCAGGCAGAACAAAGAACACAAGUUAAACAGAAAUAGAGUAUAUUUUUGCACACAGGUACUCAUACAAAGGCAUGUUAUAUGUACAUAGUCACAUGGGCAUCUUUUGUGUUCAUGUUGCUAUGGAAACAAACUUGCAUGUAAUCAAACAUGAUUACAAAGACAUUCUAGCUCUUAGAGUAUGAGUCUUUUCAUUCUUAAAUCAAGGAUAAAAGCUGCUUUAUAAGAUUAUAGAAGAGAUGCCAGUAGUAAAGAGCAUCUGAAGCUAACAAAAUUAUAAUAUCUGAAACACAAAGAUUUUUCAUUUAAUACUGUUUGUGUACUUAAAUGUAACUUCAGAGACUAGCCCAAAACAGCAGCAGAUUAUGACAGAGUAAGGACACUACAGAUUUUGCAUACACAGAAGAUGUGGCAGAUAAACCUAGCAUUUUCUUUGAUUUCUUGAAAACAAAAUUUAUAGGAAACUUUCACCGUGGAACUACUCAUAUCAAACAGCAUGCCCA
Non-coding RNA from Taeniopygia guttata (zebra finch), 1646 nucleotides. The record is from RefSeq and is a predicted model, not a curated record. NCBI's taxonomy places the organism in Eukaryota, Metazoa, Chordata, Aves, Passeriformes, Estrildidae.